This 3021-nucleotide long non-coding RNA is filed under the name Sus scrofa (pig). Its description in RNAcentral is "lncRNA (ENSSSCG00040070779.1)". Lineage: Eukaryota; Metazoa; Chordata; Mammalia; Artiodactyla; Suidae. The record is from RNAcentral.
AAACUGACUUGCCCAGUGGCAAAACAUGAAGCCAGACUGAAGCUGGACCCCAAUGGGAUGAGUGUCAAUAUAGCUGUUGCCAGAAAAAUCUCUGUUUUGCUGUUUAGAGAGCAGCUCACGGCUUCCAAGUUGAAAUUCUUUUUCCACUCAGGUAUUUUUCAGUAAUUUUAAAGUAUACUAAAAUUGAACUCAUUAGUCAUUUAAUUAUUGGCUGCUCGCUCCUUCUUUUAUCCUUCUUAAUGGAUACAUCUCAUCCUGACUUCUCAGAGCUUAAAUUUCUACAUUUUGAUGGAGAGCAUGCCUGUGGUUUCACACUCCCAUUUGUUCUCUUCUGCUAAUGAUCCUUAUAACUGUUUUCUGUUUAUUUUUAUAGAUUGUCCAAUCUUCUUUACUAGGUUGUUUAUAUUUCUAAAAGGGCCUGAUUGAUUGCAAUUCUCCUUGCAUUCCUGUUAAACUUAAUGGUCUCUGUUGCCCUUUUCAUUUCUAAAUUUGAACUGAGAUGAAUUUCAAUUUCACUUUCAGGAACCAUUUCUGAACUAUGGAGAUUUAAGUAGAUCUGACCAGGAACUUCCUCAGGGACAAUUUUAAUUUUUCAAAUAAUUGGAAAUAAGUAAUAUUUAUUCCAAUAUAGACAUGUAGAGAUAAAUAGAUAGUAUCAUCAAUUCAUUCUGUUCAUCCUCCAUCUAGAUGCUUUUCUCUUCCAGUCCUUUGAAGAAAUAACCAGUACCAGUGGGCUGGAGGAGAUGGGCUUGCACUUGAGAUGCCAAGUCUUUUUCUUUUUCUUCUUUUUUUAAAUUUUUAUUAUUAUUAGUAGUAGUAUUUUGCUUUUUUUAAGGGACGCUUCCAUGGCAUGUGAGGUUUCCAAGCUAGGGGGCAAUUCAGAGCUACAGCUUCCAGCCUACACCACAGCCACAGCAACUCAGGAUCCAAACUACAUCAGCGACCUAGACUGCAGCUCACUGCAACACCGGAUCCUUAACCCACUCAGCAAGGCCAGGAUCAAACUGCAACCUCAUGGUUAGUAGUUGGAUUCGUUUCCACUGCACCACAAUAGGAACUCCUCUUUUCCUUUUUCUUCUGCAGUAAAACCAGUGCCAUUGGUGGAAGGACCUAGGCUGUCAAUAAGGAAUUGUCACCUUGACUUUGCCACUAAUUAGCUGUGUGCCCUCAGUCAGUCAAUUCAACUCCCCUUUCUUCACCUUAAUUUGCCCAUCUGUAAAAAGAUGGGACUAAAUUCAAUGAAUUCAAAGACCCCAUGUGUGUCUUUAAAGAUUAAGAAAACUGACAGACUCAUGAGCUUUUAAUAAUCAAACAAAUCUUGAUUCAUUUGCAGCAAUAUUCUGUGAAUUCACUGUCAAAUUAGAGUUUCUAAAGAUUUUUUUUAAAAAAAUCUAUCUUUAGAAAGCUCCACUUAGAGCUUAGCUCUUUUCCCACAUGACCCCAGUGAGUGGGAGAGCCCCUGACUUGCCUCUCACCACACUGCUACUAACAGCCUAGGAAUUCCAUAUAGGUUGGAAGGUAAAAUUGGGAAGCAGUAAGGCAGUAGGUGAUGUCAGACCGGGAAUAGGAGAGAAGAAAGUGCUUUAAUGCUAGUACAGUUUUCCACUUUUGAAAGGAACUGUCUAUAAAAAGAGAGACUGAGCACAAAGAACACAGAAAGCAGCCCUGCCUGUGGUUGCUGGAUGGAACUGGGACCAUUUGCCAGGAAAGAUAUCCAUGGAGAUGAAACUGUGGUAUAUGGGGGAUUCCUUUGUUUGCAAGAGUCACUCUCCCCUGCAUUAAACAUCUCAUUAAGUGUCUUCCUUAAUUUUUGUGAUGUCCAGAAGCUUUCAGAGAUAAUCUGAGCAGUCAGUGAACUGAUGUGUCUGCCAGGGCAUGAAUAGCGAAGAUUGUUCCGUGUUUGCCCUGGGUCUAUCAGCAGCAAUAAAUUGUAAUCGGUUAGGCAUUUUUCAAGCAUGCUACUGUUUGCCAAACACUAUUUUUGGCAGGCAUCUGUAACAAAGCCUAAUGCAUUAUGCAUAUUAUUUCCACAGUAUUUCAUUGUAUUAGCACAUGUAGUAUUUGUAUGGAAUUUUUGUAAAUUCAUUACCAAAGUAUUAUCAUAUUAAUGACUCUGGUUAAAGAAGUAUUAGAAAAAAAUAUUAAUAUUCAUAGAGAGUAUACAUCCUAUGGUGGGGAAAUGGGAAUCACCUAUUAUCACUUGAAUUUCAGAAAAAAAUUAGCAUGGGCAUGGGAAAAAUAAUGUAAAAACUACAUAGCAAAUGUGAAAAAAAAUUAAAAACCUGAAUCGCUUUGAUGUUUCCUUGAAGACUGAAGGUUCAUUUUCAGAACUGUAAUGACAAUCAUUAUUAUAGAUUAAAUUAUAUUGAGGGAUGAGUUUUAUUUAACAGCAUAAUUUAGUAAUGGAGAUCUGGAAAAUUUAUUCCAUCUCUCCAAGUAUUAGUUCUUUGAUAUCCUGAUCUGCUAAAGGCCACAUUCUCACUUCUGUUUCCAUCCUUCCCUGCAGUGGAGAAGGCAUUGGGCUUUUGAACUUUGUUUAACCUUUUUUCUUUCUAUUCUCUUAGAACAGGAAAACAAUAUAACAUGGUAAUAUUAUCUAUCUCCAUUGGAAGCUAUUCCAAUAAUUCAGUUCUCCCAUUAAGUGUAGGAUUUAGUUCUAUUAAAUGUCUCUUGGCCCACUCUUACUAUUCUUAUAACAUUGGGGAAAUUAGUAACAAAUUAUUUUCUUUACCCUUUUGGAGAUUGUAUUAUUUCCAGGGGUUCCUCACACCUUGAUUUGUAUUGUUCUUCUAAAUUUGACAAAUAAUGUCUAGAGCACUCUUCCCUUUAGAAACUAUUUUACAACGCAAUCGUUUCUUGCUGUCAGAAAAUGUUAGAGCUAUUCUUCUUUUCACAGGUUUUGAUUCAGAUAACACCUCUCUCCCAGAAGCUCAAAAACCUCAGCCAGUAUUGCUCUCUGCAGCUUCACAACAGCCUUUUGAUGGAGGGCAAUAUGUUCUCACUAUUAAAAAAAAAAAAAAA